RNAcentral lists this ribosomal RNA (497 nucleotides) under uncultured bacterium. RNAcentral's name for it is "partial 16S ribosomal RNA". It matches the Rfam family "Bacterial small subunit ribosomal RNA", at positions 28 to 507 of the family's 1533-position model. The record is from RNAcentral.
GAUGAACGCUGGCGGCGUGCCUAAUACAUGCAAGUCGAGCGAACAGAUAAGGAGCUUGCUCCUUUGACGUUAGCGGCGGACGGGUGAGUAACACGUGGGUAACCUACCUAUAAGACUGGGAUAACUUCGGGAAACCGGAGCUAAUACCGGAUAAUAUUUCGAACCGCAUGGUUCGAUAGUGAAAGAUGGUUUUGCUAUCACUUAUAGAUGGACCCGCGCCGUAUUAGCUAGUUGGUAAGGUAACGGCUUACCAAGGCGACGAUACGUAGCCGACCUGAGAGGGUGAUCGGCCACACUGGAACUGGGACACGGUCCAGACUCCUACGGGAGGCAGCAGUAGGGAAUCUUCCGCAAUGGGCGAAAGCCUGACGGAGCAACGCCGCGUGAGUGAUGAAGGUCUUCGGAUCGUAAAACUCUGUUAUUAGGGAAGAACAUACGUGUAAGUAACUGUGCACGUCUUGACGGUACCUAAUCAGAAAGCCACGGCUAACUACGUG